CAUGGCUUAGGAAGAGCUGUAAACGGGAGCUUGCCGGCUGGCCACCAGCUCAGGGGCCCUGGGGGCGGCCUCCGGGUUCUGCUCCCUGUUCUUCCCUUUGACCAAUGUCACUCCUGGACAGAUAACGGGACCAAACGCCCUUCACUUCCUCGAGUCCUCAUGUAUGUCAUGGUUCCUCUUUUAGGAAAACAUGAGUACAAGACGCAAAGCAAAAGAAGAGACUAAAGAAAGCCUUUACGAAAUCCUCACACCAUCUCCGGACGCAAAGCUUUCGCAUUCAGCUUGAGGAGCUAAACCAUUUCAAGCCAAGGUAGGAAACGCCAAAGUGGUGCCGAAGUGGUCCCAAAGCAG
This 351-nucleotide long non-coding RNA is filed under the name Homo sapiens (human). RNAcentral describes it as "non-protein coding VAV3-AS1:2". Lineage: Eukaryota; Metazoa; Chordata; Mammalia; Primates; Hominidae. The record is from RNAcentral.